UCUUAAAUCAUUGAAUUAGAAAGCUUUGUCUCAAGUUUAAUAAUUUGCCUGAGGUCACACAGCUGGUUAAUGGUUAACAUACUUCUCUGAUAAAGGUCACUAGAGGUUCUUAUGAAGAUACUUUUAGGUGGCGUAACAAAUGUGUUUAUGCAUAUUCAAGACACUCUUGUAUCCACAGGUUGCACUGCUGUGAUCCAUCCUCAUCUCCUAAAGAUGCAUCCUGACUUAUCUCCACACUUGCACACUGAAGAAUGCAACGUCUUGAUUAACUUGCUUAAGGAAUGUCACAAAAAUCACAACAUUCUGAAAUUUUUUGGUUAUUGUAAUGAUGUUGAUCGGGAGUUGAGAAAAUGCCUGAAGAAUGAGGUUCUUGCUCUGUCACCUAAGCUGGAGUGCAGUAGGGUGAUCGUAACUCACGGAAGCCUCAAACUCAAGUGAUCCUCCCACCUCAGCCUCCUGAGUAGCUAGGACGACAGUACGUAGAAAACAGGACCAAGAGCAGGGAGCAUGGCAUUGCAAUGCGAAAGAAACUUUUUAAUCCUCCA
Molecule: long non-coding RNA, 545 nt
Filed under: Homo sapiens (human)
Lineage: Eukaryota; Metazoa; Chordata; Mammalia; Primates; Hominidae
Description: non-protein coding lnc-C16orf46-3:7
Source: RNAcentral